Molecule: ribosomal RNA, 387 nt
Filed under: uncultured bacterium
Lineage: Bacteria
Description: bacterial SSU rRNA
Rfam family: Bacterial small subunit ribosomal RNA
Source: RNAcentral
AUUGAACGCUGGCGGCAUGCCUUACACAUGCAAGUCGAACGGUAACGCGGGGCAACCUGGCGACGAGUGGCGAACGGGUGAGUAAUGCAUCGGAACGUGCCCAGUAGUGGGGGAUAGCCCGGCGAAAGCCGGAUUAAUACCGCAUACGACCUACGGGUGAAAGCGGGGGACUCGCAAGAGCCUCGCGCUAUUGGAGCGGCCGAUGUCAGAUUAGGUAGUUGGUGGGGUAAAAGCCUACCAAGCCGACGAUCUGUAGCUGGUCUGAGAGGACGACCAGCCACACUGGGACUGAGACACGGCCCAGACUCCUACGGGAGGCAGCAGUGGGGAAUAUUGGACAAUGGGCGGAAGCCUGAUCCAGCAAUGCCGCGUGUGUGAAGAAGGCCU